RNAcentral lists this ribosomal RNA (476 nucleotides) under uncultured bacterium. RNAcentral's name for it is "partial 16S ribosomal RNA". It matches the Rfam family "Bacterial small subunit ribosomal RNA", at positions 28 to 523 of the family's 1533-position model. The record is from RNAcentral.
GAUGAACGCUGGCGGCGUGCUUAACACAUGCAAGUCGAGCGAGUGAGUUCUUCGGAACGAUCUAGCGGCGGACGGGUGAGUAACACGUGGGCAACCUGCCUCAUAGAGGGGAAUAGCCUCCCGAAAGGGAGAUUAAUACCGCAUAACAUCGUUGAAGGGCAUCCUUCGAUGAUCAAAGGAGCAAUCCGCUAUGAGAUGGGCCCGCGGCGCAUUAGCUAGUUGGUGAGGUAACGGCUCACCAAGGCGACGAUGCGUAGCCGACCUGAGAGGGUGAUCGGCCACAUUGGGAAGAGGACACGGGCCAGAGUCCAACGGGGGGCAGCGGUGGGGAAUAUUGCACAAUUGGGGAAACCCUGAUGCAGCAACGCCGCGUGAGUGAUGACGGCCUGCGGGUUGUAAAGCUCUGUCUUUGGGGACGAUAAUGACGGUACCCAAGGAGGAAGUCACGGCUAACUACGUGCCAGCCGCCGCGGUAA